This 462-nucleotide ribosomal RNA is filed under the name uncultured organism. RNAcentral's name for it is "bacterial SSU rRNA". It matches the Rfam family "Bacterial small subunit ribosomal RNA", at positions 28 to 507 of the family's 1533-position model. The record is from RNAcentral.
GACGAACGCUGGCGGCGUGCCUAACACAUGCAAGUCGAGCGAUGAAGCUUCUUCGGAAGUGGAUUAGCGGCGGACGGGUGAGUAACACGUGGGCAACCUGCCUCAUAGAGAGGGAUAGCCUUUCGAAAGGAAGAUUAAUACCUCAUAAGAUUGUAGUUUCGCAUGAAACGGCAAUAAAAGGAGCAAUCCGCUAUGAGAUGGGCCCGCGUCGCAUUAGCUAGUUGGUAAGGUAAUGGCUUACCAAGGCGACGAUGCGUAGCCGACCUGAGAGGGUGAUCGGCCACAUUGGGACUGAGACACGGCCCAGACUCCUACGGGAGGCAGCAGUGGGGAAUAUUGCACAAUGGGGGAAACCCUGAUGCAGCAACGCCGCGUGAGUGAUGAAGGUCUUCGGAUUGUAAAACUCUGUCUUUGGGGACGAUAAUGACGGUACCCAAGGAGGAAGCCACGGCUAACUACGUG